UACGGAGGGAGCUAGCGUUGUUCGGAAUUACUGGGCGUAAAGCGCACGUAGGCGGCUUUGUAAGUUAGAGGUGAUAGCCUGGAGCUCAACUCCAGAAUUGCCUUUAAAACUGCAUCGCUUGAAUCCAGGAGAGGUGAGUGGAAUUCCGAGUGUAGAGGUGAAAUUCGUAGAUAUUCGGAAGAACACCAGUGGCGAAGGCGUCUCACUGGACUGGUAUUGACGCUGAGGUGCGAAAGCGUGGGGAGCAAACAGGAUUAGAUACC
Molecule: ribosomal RNA, 263 nt
Filed under: uncultured Sphingomonadales bacterium
Lineage: Bacteria; Pseudomonadati; Pseudomonadota; Alphaproteobacteria; Sphingomonadales
Description: partial 16S ribosomal RNA
Rfam family: Bacterial small subunit ribosomal RNA
Source: RNAcentral